This is a long non-coding RNA of Papaver somniferum (opium poppy), 824 nucleotides long. RefSeq lists it as uncharacterized. Lineage: Eukaryota; Viridiplantae; Streptophyta; Magnoliopsida; Ranunculales; Papaveraceae. The record is from RefSeq and is a predicted model, not a curated record. The transcript is spliced from 4 exons.
UUGGAAUCUUUAUAUGGUUUGUAACUAGAGGGAUGUUGGAAAUCAUCCAAACUAUAAUGGAGAAUCAGUUACUACAUAUUAUUGCAACUCCAUAUAGAAAUAUAUCCCUUCUUUUACAGGGGACUCCUCAGUUUAGUAUUUGAAAGGGCAGUAUACCGUAGUUGGAUAUUGAACUACAACAGCUCAAUCGACUCAUUAUGUAACAAGAAGAAAGCAAGUAGAGCUGCAGUAACAUCAAAUUUUAUCUCAAAAUAGAGAUGAGUAUUACUGAUCCAUUAGUUUCUAUUAUUGCGUCCAUAAUCCAAUCAUGAUAACUUCUUUAGCAAAUCCGUUACUAAUACUCGUUAUAAUCUUCUCUCUUUGCAAUCUAGGUUAAUGGAAGCUAAGUAGCUUAGACUUGGAGUUUCAAGAUUAAUGGAUGAAGCUAAGGCUGAUGGGAUUAAGUUAGUUAUUUGCUCUACAACAACAAAUUUUUUUUAUCUUGAAAUCCUUAAUAGGCAUCGUAAGUUCUGUUCAACACUCUUGUGGAUAUGAAAGCUCCAACAACUCAGAACCCUCGUAGUACAAUUUUCCAUCCUAUGAAUGAUAAUCGUCAGAAAGUCGCAUGUGAACCAAGGACACAGCACAUUGAUGCUUGAUAUCAUUUGUGAAGUAUUGUCAUAGCAGGAGCUGAAUUAUCAUUUUGUUUUUUUAUCAGUUUGUUAGUUUAGCAUGUUGUUGUCAGAACUUAGAUAUCUUGGACAUGUAUUAUCUGAACUCAGUAUUUCAUUUUUUUUUUGUAGUUUUACACCCAAUGGAAUGAAUGUUAAAAUUCUCAGUUAAAU